UACGAAGGGGGCUAGCGUUGUUCGGAAUUACUGGGCGUAAAGCGUGCGCAGGCGGCUUCUCAAGUCAGGGGUGAAAGCCCAGAGCUCAACUCUGGAAUUGCCUUUGAGACUGAGUGGCUUGAGUACGAGAGAGGUGAGUGGAAUUCCCAGUGUAGAGGUGAAAUUCGUAGAUAUUGGGAAGAACACCGGUGGCGAAGGCGGCUGACUGGCUCGUAACUGACGUUCAUGCACGACAGCGUGGGGAUCAAACAGG
This 253-nucleotide ribosomal RNA is filed under the name uncultured bacterium. RNAcentral's name for it is "partial 16S ribosomal RNA". It matches the Rfam family "Bacterial small subunit ribosomal RNA", at positions 524 to 776 of the family's 1533-position model. The record is from RNAcentral.